Molecule: long non-coding RNA, 402 nt
Filed under: Dermacentor andersoni
Lineage: Eukaryota; Metazoa; Arthropoda; Arachnida; Ixodida; Ixodidae
Description: uncharacterized LOC126523579
Source: RNAcentral
CUCUAGUCACAGGGCCGUGCCCCCACAUGGGAGGAAGAAACCAGUGGCUAUUCUGACAUUCGCCGGACCAAGCCAACGCGUAAACCAAGCAGAAUUUCGCCAGCCUCGAGAACGGACAUAUUCCCAAACGCAGUACAUCCAACAUCUAUGGAGCGUGACCUCAGUAGGGACUUGCAACGGCUUCGUUUAGGUUCCAAGAGGACUUCACCCAGAAGAAUAGCCAAGGAGUCAGCCUGAAAUGGAAAUACCACAACGUUGGUGUGCUCAAGCAAGCGGCACAUAUUGCAAAAGAUGCACUGGAUGCAUUGUAUUGUUUUGCAGCUUUACGAAGACAUCCACAAUUGCAACUAGGCUUUGUCGAAAAUUGCCAUGGCUUUUCUUAAUGAACAGCUGCAACGUCUU